RNAcentral lists this ribosomal RNA (253 nucleotides) under uncultured bacterium. RNAcentral's name for it is "partial 16S ribosomal RNA". It matches the Rfam family "Bacterial small subunit ribosomal RNA", at positions 524 to 776 of the family's 1533-position model. The record is from RNAcentral.
UACAGAGGUGGCAAGCGUUGUUCGGAAUUACUGGGCGUAAAGGGCGCGUAGGCGGUUCGUCAAGUCCUGUGUGAAAUCCCCCGGCUCAACUGGGGAACUGCACAGGAAACUAGCGGGCUUGAGUUCGGGAGAGGGAAGCGGAAUUCCGGGUGUAGCGGUGAAAUGCGUAGAUAUUGGGAGGAACACCAGUGGCGAAGGCGGCUACCUGGACCGGUUCUGACGCUGAGGCGCGAAAGCGUGGGUAGCAAACAGG